Molecule: ribosomal RNA, 469 nt
Filed under: uncultured bacterium
Lineage: Bacteria
Description: bacterial SSU rRNA
Rfam family: Bacterial small subunit ribosomal RNA
Source: RNAcentral
AUUAAACGCUGGCGGCAUGUCUAACACAUGCAAGUCGAACGGCAGCAUGUCCUUGCUUGCAAGGAUGAUGGCGAGUGGCGAACGGGUGAGUAAUACAUGGGAAUCUACCUAAAAGCGGGGGAUAGCCCGAAGAAAUUCGGAUUAAUACCGCAUAAUCUCCAAGGAGUAAAGAGGGCCUCUGCUUGCAAGCUCUCACUUUUAGAUGAGCCCAUGCCAGAUUAGCUAGUUGGUAGGGUAAAGGCCUACCAAGGCAACGAUCUGUAGUUGAUUUGAUGAGAAUGAUCAGCCACACUGGGGACUGAGACACGGCCCAGACUUCUACGGAAGCAGCAGUGAAGAUAUUGGACAAUGGGCGAAAGCCUGAUCCAGCAAUGCCGCGUGUGUGAAGAAGGCCUGAGGGUUGUAAAGCACUUUCAAUCGUGAAGAAAAGCAGUUACCUAAUACGUAACUGCCUUGACAUUAGCGAUAC